Molecule: long non-coding RNA, 1751 nt
Organism: Macaca fascicularis (crab-eating macaque)
Lineage: Eukaryota; Metazoa; Chordata; Mammalia; Primates; Cercopithecidae
Source: Ensembl
UUUUUUUUUUUUUUUUUUUUGAGACAAGAGUCUCACUCUGUUGCCCGGGCUGGAGUGCAGUGGCACAAUCUCGACUCACUGUAGCCUCUGCCUCCCGGGUUCAAGCCAUUCCCCUGCCUCAGCCUCCCAAGUAGCUGGGAUUGCAGAUGUGCACCACCAUGCCCAGCUAAUUUUUGUAUUUUUGGUAAAGAUGUGAUUUCACCAUGUUGGCCAGGCUGGUCUCGAACUCCGGACUUCAGGUGAUCUGCCCGCUUCGGCCUCCCAAAGUGCUGGGAUUAUGGGCAGUCAGAAUUUCUACGAACCUCCCUCAGGAGGGUCUACCGUGCUGUGAGGGUAGAAAACCAUUUUUAGGGCCUCCCGCUGACCCUGCUGUCCCCGAGACUGAAGCCCCUCCUUUCUCCGAAGCUCUCAGCCCCGGGCCUGGCCCGCCAAGGCUGCUUAGUAAGCAGCUCAGCAAGCCCAGUGUGUUGGAGCAGAGCUGGCGUCUACCUUCUCAGAUGGCAGAGGGACCCCACCUGCAGCAAUUGCCAGGGACCCAAAGUCCUGGGAUGGGAGACAGAUGUCACAGGCCCAAAGUCCUGGGAUGGGAGACAGAUGUCACAGGCCCAAAGUCCUGGGAUGGGAGACAGAUAUGUCACAGGGAUGGAGAAACCGUGUGUGGUCGGUGACUCACCCCAACCUCCAGGCCCUGUAUGUUACCCCACAUGGCAAAAAGGGGCACCACAGAUGAGAUCGGGGACCUUGUGGGGAGGGACCCUGGGCUGCCCAGGUGGGCUCUGUAUGUAAUCAGUGUCCUUCUAACACGGAUGCAGGAGGGGCCAGAGGUCAGAGAGGAGACAGUGGCGUGGAGACAGCAGCAGAGGCUACAUGGGUGUGCUUGGAGGAGGGAGGAGGGGCCACUGGAUGCUGGCAAAGGCAGGGAAAUGGGUUGUCACCCCGGGCUUCAGGAAGGAAGCAGCCCUGCCAACACCUUGAUCUUAGGCCAGUGAGCCUGAAUUUGCACUUCCAACCUCUGGAACCGUAGGAGCAUAAAUAUGUUUUAAGCCACUGAAUUUGUGGUAGUUUGUCCAGGUGGCCGUAGGACCCACACACACCCGCAUCCUGAAUUCCGAUCCUUGAGCAGCUCUGAGAGGACAAGCUGGUGGGCUCUGCAUCCUGAAUUCCGACCCUUGGGCAGCUCUGAGGACAGGCCUAUGGGCUCCCUCUGGGCUCAGCAGCAGAAGCUAGGUCCCUCAGGAGACACAGUCACAGGGCACAGGCCUUGUCACAUCCUGCAGUCCCCGCCUGGGGCCUGUCUCCAGAGCUGCAGUCAGGGGGUGAACUCUGGGAGUGAAAGCAAGAAUCCUUCAGGCUCACUCUCCUCCUGCCACUGUGUCCAAUGGAGAAAACACAGGGGGUGCAGCGGGGGUCGGUCAGCAGCCAACACGGGCCGGGGGCAGAGGGCAGGGAGGAGGGCAUGGUGCCAGGGCUGAGCCCACAGGGUCUUCAUCCAUGGGGUUCUGACCCCUUGGGUCCACACUGACACUGGGGGUCAGAAGGGCACAAGAACCUCUUCCAGGUUCUAAGCCAGGGCUCCCAAGGGGGCCGCCUGUCGACAAGAAUCUCCUGCGGAGGGAGCGUGUGUGUUAAGAGUUAACAUGACAUAAAAUUCACUUUAACUCCAUCUGGGGCUUACCAUUUUAGAGUGUGCAGUCCAGUGGCUUUAAGUACUCACAAUGUUGUGCCAGUAUCACCACUAUUUCAUUCCAGAA